AGGAACUAGUGAUGGACAUUCUGCGAGUACUUGCCUCGCCUGAUCUCGAGGUUCGCAAGAAGACGUUGGAUCUUGUCCUUGAGAUUAUGAACACGAGAAACAUCCAUGAAGUCGUGAUGGUUUUGAAGAAAGAAAUCACCAAGACACACACAGAGGAAAGCACGACGGAAGAUUCCGGCAACUACCGACAGAUCCUCGUCCGUACUCUACACGCAUGCAGCGUCAAGUUCCCGGAUGUUGCAGAAUCUGUUGUUCCCGUU
This is a non-coding RNA of Paramuricea clavata, 260 nucleotides long. The record is from the annotation of a GenBank genome assembly. Lineage: Eukaryota; Metazoa; Cnidaria; Anthozoa; Malacalcyonacea; Plexauridae.